RNAcentral lists this microRNA precursor (84 nucleotides) under Gallus gallus (chicken). RNAcentral describes it as "microRNA gga-mir-1612 precursor". The record is from miRBase by way of RNAcentral. Lineage: Eukaryota; Metazoa; Chordata; Aves; Galliformes; Phasianidae.
CUUUUAAGCAUCCAAUUGGCUCUUUUCUUUCUUUCUUUUUUUAUGGUAGAGGAAGGAAAAGGAGCUGACUGGGCAGCUUGGAGG